Molecule: ribosomal RNA, 468 nt
Filed under: uncultured bacterium
Lineage: Bacteria
Description: partial 16S ribosomal RNA
Rfam family: Bacterial small subunit ribosomal RNA
Source: RNAcentral
GACGAACGCUGGCGGCGUGCUUAACACAUGCAAGUCGAACGGAAAGGCCCUGCUUUUGUGUGGUGCUCGAGUGGCGAACGGGUGAGUAACACGUGAGUAACCUGCCCUUGACUUUGUGAUAACUUCAGGAAACUGGGGCUAAUACCGGAUAGGAGCUGCUGCUGCAUGGUGGGGGUCGGAAAGUUUCGGCUGUUGGGGAUGGACUCGCGGCUUAUGAGCUUGUUGGUGGGGUAGUGGCUUACCAAGGCUUUGGAGGGUAGCCGGCAUGAGAGGGUGAACGGGGACCAUGGGACUGCGGUAGGGACCAGUCUCGAACGGGAGGCAGUAGUGGGAAACCUUGUCCAGUGAGGGGGAGUGUGAGGAGGAAACGCUGGGUGCGGAAAGCAGUCCUUGUGGUGGUAAACCGCAGUCGCCUAUGACGAAGCGUGAGUGACGGUACUGAGAGAAGAAGCACCGGCUAACUACGUG